UACGGAGGGUGCGAGCGUUGUCCGGAAUCACUGGGCGUAAAGGGCGCGUAGGCGGCAUGCCAAGCGUGUGGUGAAAGCCCGGGGCUCAACCCCGGGUCGGCCGUGCGGACUGGCGUGCUCGAGCACUGUAGGGGCGGGUGGAAUUCCGGGUGUAGCGGUGGAAUGCGUAGAGAUCCGGAAGAACACCGGUGGCGAAGGCGGUGGUCUGGGCCGGAACUGACGCUGAGGAGCGAAAGCGUGGGGAGCGAACAGG
This 253-nucleotide ribosomal RNA is filed under the name uncultured bacterium. RNAcentral's name for it is "partial 16S ribosomal RNA". It matches the Rfam family "Bacterial small subunit ribosomal RNA", at positions 524 to 776 of the family's 1533-position model. The record is from RNAcentral.